ACAGCAUACACCAUCCCCAUCAUGGCCUUCGCCUUCGUCUGCCACCCCGAGGUGCUGCCCAUCUAUACUGAGCUCAAGGACCCCUCCAAGAGGAAGAUGCAGCACAUCUCCAACCUGUCCAUCGCUGUCAUGUACAUCAUGUACUUCCUGGCUGCCCUCUUCGGCUACCUCACCUUCUACAGUACGGUGGCACCGGUGGGCAGAGGCCUAGGCUAGGCUGGGGGGAAGGGGCUGGUUGUGGCCAUGGUGCCCUCCAUACCGAGGCGUGUGGUGCCUGGCUGUGCCUUGCCGCUGUGGAGGUGAGUCUGCAUGCCAAUCCCCACAGUGUUGGGGUCCUCUAGGCAGCUCAGAUCCCACCUCCUUCCUGGGGCCACCUACUGACCACCCUCCCUGCCUGCCACAGACGGGGUGGAGUCGGAGCUGCUGCACACCUACAGCAAGGUGGACCCGUUUGACGUCCUGAUCCUGUGUGUGCGCGUGGCCGUGCUGAC
RNAcentral lists this small RNA (491 nucleotides) under Pan troglodytes (chimpanzee). RNAcentral describes it as "retained intron". Lineage: Eukaryota; Metazoa; Chordata; Mammalia; Primates; Hominidae. The record is from RNAcentral.